This is a long non-coding RNA of Ipomoea triloba (trilobed morning glory), 1525 nucleotides long. RefSeq lists it as uncharacterized. Lineage: Eukaryota; Viridiplantae; Streptophyta; Magnoliopsida; Solanales; Convolvulaceae. The transcript has 2 exons. The record is from RefSeq and is a predicted model, not a curated record.
UACAAUAAUUUAGUGAGUUAUAUUUCCAAUCUCCCCAAAAUUAAUAUCUCCAUUAUUUGUCAUUUUAUAUUUCUCCCAUAUUAUUACUUCCUACAAUAAUUCUCAAUUCGCGAUCACCGUACCCGCUUCCGCAGUGCUUGUUAAUUCAUUCCCUAACAUAAUCUAUAAGUGAAAAAUACCACUUCUAUUUCCCAGGAGUAUAUAUUCUAACCACUCUAUUUUUUUUCUUGAUUUUCAGCAGACCAGACUUUUGAUUCUGUUUUUAAUUUGUUUCAUUAUAGCUUUUAGAGGAAUUAUAUUGAUCCUCACUUUGACUCCGAUGGUGGUUUAUUGUUCUUGGUGUCACAAGAAGGGUGGUUGGGGUUGGUUCUUCACAACUCUUUGAUCUCUCAUUAAAACAAGACCUUGAGCAAAACAGUAACUGCCGGCUGUUGAUAUGAAUAGGCAGGCAUUCUCAUAGAAACAUAAGUCGAUAUUUGGCCAUAUUCUUCUUUUACAAAAACAUUUCAUCCUUUCCUGUUAAAGUCUGAUAGUUGGUUUUGGUAGAGUGAGGAGCUAAAGAAAUUGGACCCUGUCACCUGCUGCAGUAAUGCAAAACUCCCUGCGGUGUUUUUGGGUUAGUUUUCUACUUGCAUGUCCCCACGAAAGAGAAAUAAUUCUUUGAUUUCCAUUUAUAUAUGGACCCACCAUAUUUUUCUGUUGACUUUACCAUAAAUAUUUAAGAGUAUUAAUUUAGGAUUGGUUGAUAACAAAAUGGAAGAGCCAUUGAAGAAGGGGCAUAUGUGCAACCCGUUUUUCAUACUCCAGCAUUAUAUAUGCACAGUACAUUAUAUAUAUAUAUAUUUUGACUGGAAAUUGAGUGGCAAUUUCCUAGUUUGCUGUUUGUAGCUAACUUCUAAAGUCAUGGCGAGAAGUUCAAGUCAAUCGACUCUUUCAGCUCUGUGGUUACAUCGUGUGGAAAUAUGCAGCACAAUACAGUUGACCUCAAGUCAAGGUCCACCUUUUAAGUCUUUCUACUGGCCGGCUGCUCUCCUCUUCUAUAAUUCUCUUCCUUCUCCAUUGCUUGAGGGAGAGAAUUGAAGGAGAGAGGUGCUGGUAAUGGUAUGGGUCUACCCUUUAAUCCUUGUUUCUUUUUCCUUCUCUUUCCCUUAAUUCUCUUAUUAUGCUUUGCUCAUGGAGAAGAUGAGUUGUCAUAUAAUUGUACCAAGGAAUUCUCCUGUGGAAAUAUCAGUCAUCUGGAGUUCCCUUUUGCUCAACACACGCAGCCUCAUUGUGGGUUAGUGGUAGUAAAUUGUUCUGCAACACCUCCAACACUCCAGUUGGAAACCGGGGGAGAUUGGUAUCAGCUUCAGCUUGUGAAACCACCUGUCUGGGGUGACUGGGGUGAGUAUGUGAUCUUCCUUGGAGACUCGAAACUUCAGAGACUCUUCGAUAGCCAUAAUUGCUCAAUUUUAGACGGCUACACCAUCCAAUUUCCAAAUUCUCCUUCUUUCAAAUUCCACAAUUUUGAAAAAACAGAAGCAAA